Sapajus apella (tufted capuchin) is the source of this 2181-nucleotide long non-coding RNA. RefSeq lists it as uncharacterized. Lineage: Eukaryota; Metazoa; Chordata; Mammalia; Primates; Cebidae. The record is from RefSeq and is a predicted model, not a curated record. The transcript has 4 exons.
AAAAAAAAGGAUGGAUGGGAUGCAGUAUGGACUUACAACUGAAGACACGCCCGGUUCCCCAGUAUAAUAUUGGAAAAGUUACUUCCACUCUGGGCCUCAUUUCUCAUUCUGCACCAUGAGGGGGUUAAUAUAAAAUGAAGCUCAUAUCUGGUCAUCCUGUGGCAUAAAAUCAGAGCCAGUGUCUCAUCCCAGCCUGAGUGGCAGGCUGCAUCAUGCACAGCAGCUUGCAAUGAACCUCACUGCUGGGAUUCAUUCCCUUGUGUAACCGUGAAGUGGUUAGUGACUCCCCUUGGGACUCAGAGAAUACAGCAAAGUGCUGGGUUGCCUCUCCUGUCCGGGUCAGCUAGGGCUACUGUAAGAAAGUGCCACAAACAGGGUGGCUCACCAUAACAGAAAUGUAUUCCUUACAGUCCUGGAGGCUGGAAGUAUGAAGUCAGGGUAUCAGCAUGGUCCAGUUUUGCCAAGGUCCCUCUUCAGGGUAGCAGACUGCCAGCUUCCUGUUGUGUCCUCAGAUGCUUGAAAAAAAGAGACCCACAUGGCAAAGAGCUGGGAAACACCCAGGCCAACAGACAGAAAGGAACUCUGGCUCAGUCCAGACUGGUUCUGCCAUUACCCACGUGAGUGAGCUUGGGGGCAGCUCCUCUCACAGUCCAGCCUCAGUGAGAGACCUGAGAGACCUCCAGGCAGAGGCACGCAGACUGUGAGCUCCUGGAGGGCAGGGACCACUCGGCUGAUCUCAGCACAGCACGUUGGGCCCACCAGGGCACCUGCACAGGGUGAAUGCUCAGCCAUGGUUGUUGAAUGAAUAAAUGGGAGGAUCGCAGACUUUCCGCCUCCCCACCUUCUGACCAGUUAAGACUGUGGAGAUGAUCAAUAAAAAUGAGAGGUGCGAGUUAGGCCUGAGGCAGGAGGCCGGACAGCAUGAACUCUGGGUGACUCUUCCCUGGUUCCAGUUGCUGGCAAAGCAAGAGAGAGAAAAAGCUUAGUUCCAAACCAGGAUAUAUGAAUGGGACCCCUGCUUUUAAUUCCCAAGCAGAAUGACUGGAAUCACUGUGUUGGCUUUCAUCUGUUUGUACCUUGUAAGUAAAUCUGAGAACAUCCUUUCCUAUUUCAUAAAUGGGGCAGGGAGGGGCUGAGAGCUGUGAAACCUUUAAGGCAAGCAGCAUGUCCCUACAAAACUGGGUCAAAAUUGAAAGUCUGUAAAUGUAAAAAGUACAAUGUAUUCACCCCAAGGACACUUUGACCCUCAUAGUAAAUAUUACCAGUAAAAUGAAUCCACCCAAAAUAAAACUUAGUGCAUUCAGCCUGCUCUAACAAAAUGCCAUAAACUGGAUGGCAUGUAAAUGACUGAAAUUUAUCCCUCACAGCUCUGGGAGCUGGGAUGUCGUAGCUCAAAGUCCCAGAAGAUUUGGUAUCUGGUGAGGGCCAACUCCCUGGUUCACAGACAGCUGUCUUCUCGCUGUGUCCUCAGAUGGCAAGGCAGAGAGGGAGCUCUCAGUGGCUUGUUUUGUAAGGGCACUCAUGCCAUUCAUGAGGGCUCCACCCUUACAGCCUUAUCACCUCCCAAAGGUCCAACCUCCAAAUACCAUCAUACUGGGGGACAGGUUUCAAAAAGGAAUUUGGGGGGACACAAACAUUCAGUCUACAGCAAAAACUGAUCAUGGUUAAAGCUGCACAUGGUAAAAUUUAUCAUUUGCUGAAAAUUGAUGUAAGAAAAGUAUAUUUAACAUUUUGAUAUGCAUAAUUUGACCAAGGAAAACUGACUUGGUAGGAAUAAUACCUAAAGAAAGGUGACAAUAGCAGAAUCUAAAGUUAGUAAAUUAUGAUGUGGACCCCCCAGGAAUCAAGUCAUUUACAAAAAAUAACUUCGAGCCAGGCCUGGUAGCACACAUCUAUAAUCCCAACACUUUAGGAGGCCGAGGUGGGAGGAUUGCUUGAUGUCAAGGGUUUGAGACCAGCCUGAGCAUAUAAUGAGACCUUGUUUCUAUAAAAAAAAAAAAAAAAAUGAACAUCCACUGCAGCAUCCUAAAUUUCUAACAGCCUAGUUUGAAUUCAUACCAACUUAGCUUCAAAAGCAUACAAAAACCCUGCUCCUAUACAGUUCAUUCCCUCCUACUUUUAUGUUGUUGGCAAUCCUCCCACCUCAGCCUCCUGAGUAGCUGGGAAUACAGGCAUGUGUCA